Molecule: ribosomal RNA, 468 nt
Filed under: uncultured bacterium
Lineage: Bacteria
Description: partial 16S ribosomal RNA
Rfam family: Bacterial small subunit ribosomal RNA
Source: RNAcentral
GACGAACGCUGGCGGCGUGCUUAACACAUGCAAGUCGAACGGAAAGGCCCGGCUUUUGUGGGGUGCUCGAGUGGCGAACGGGUGAGUAACACGUGAGUAACCUGCCCUUGACUUUGGGAUAACUUCAGGAAACUGGGGCUAAUACCGGAUAGGAGCUCCUGCUGCAUGGUGGGGGAUGGAAAGUUUCGGCGGUUGGGGAUGGACUCGCGGCUUAUCAGCUUGUUGGUGGGGUAGGGGCUUACCAAGGCUUUGACGGGUAGCCGGCCUGAGAGGGUGACCGGCCACAUUGGGACUGAGAUACGGCCCAGACUCCUACGGGAGGCAGCAGUGGGGAAUAUUGCACAAUGGGCGGAAGCCUGAUGCAGCAACGCCGCGUGCGGGAUGACGGCCUUCGGGUUGUAAACCGCUUUCGCCUGUGACGAAGCGUGAGUGACGGUAAUGGGUAAAGAAGCACCGGCUAACUACGUG